Molecule: RNA transcript, 1175 nt
Organism: Papaver somniferum (opium poppy)
Lineage: Eukaryota; Viridiplantae; Streptophyta; Magnoliopsida; Ranunculales; Papaveraceae
Gene name: LON peptidase N-terminal domain and RING finger protein 1-like
Exons: 6
Source: RefSeq, a predicted model, not a curated record
CAAAAAUGGCGUCGGAGGAAUUCCAAAGCCCUCAACACCAUAAAAAUGUUGUUUACAGAGACAUCAUCAUCAGUCCUAGGUUCAGAUCUGUGGCUGCGAUGGCUGGUUGGGAUGAAGAAGCCUUAUUAGCAGCAUCACAAGAUACACCAGAAAGAGAAUCAUCAAAAUCUCAGAAACGAACCAAUUUAGCAUCGAAAUCCCCGCAAACUAAUUCAAGAAGGAAACGUAGGAUUCAAAGACGUAGUCCUGUUACAAACCCUGCAUUAGUUCUUAACCUUGAUAAUGAUGAUGUUGAAGCAAGAGUUACGCGCCAUGACGGGCCCGUUGCUGGCAAAGAACCACAAAUUGAAUCUCUGAAAGAAGAGAGGAAACAAGAAAAUAAGGGCCGUACCGAGCCCAAACCUGACGAAAUGCCGCCUGCAAACCUUCCUUACAUGGAUAAAUUGAGGGAAGAAUUAUCUUGUGCUAUUUGCUUGGAGAUUUGCUUUGAACCAAGUACUACUCCUUGUGGUCACAGUUUUUGCAAGAAAUGUUUGAAAUCUGCAGCGGAUAAAUGCGGUAAAAAGUGCCCGAAAUGCAGACAACUGAUUGGAAAUGGAAGAUCUUGUAUUGUGAAUACAAGUCUUUGGAACACAAUACAGCUUUUGUUUCCACCAGAAGUAGAAGCAAGGAAAGCUGUUGCGGCCAAAAACAGUCGAGAGGAAUUCAAGGAUUCCAUUUCAAGAAGUCCAAGUGGUAGGACUAAUUCAAUGAUGAUGACAAAUCCAAGUAACAUUAGAGUGAGUUCUAGUUCAAGAAAUCAUAGUGGUAGGUCUAAUUUUAUGGGGAUGAAUAGAGUGGAUUCAGUAAGAUUGAGCAGCUCAGCGAGGAUUAGAAGAGCUAGGCCUAGUCAAGCCGAGGAUGCUGUAUUAGCUUUGAGGUUACAAAGAGAAGAGUUUAUGGUGGCUUUUAGGACCGCAGAUGAGCCUCAGCCUCAAGUACCAGCAGAAGCAGCCUCAACUGCCAGAGCAAACCUUAGAGCAAUGGCUUCAAGAGCUGUUGACAUCCGUCUUAGAAGAAGACUGACAUAGUUCUCUAAGAUGCACCUACACCGUCUUUAUCAUCCUUCUGAUUCUGCUGAUGAUUCCAGUCCCAAGGUUCAUCAUUCCCGUUGUAGAGCCAGCAUUAUUUUUUCU